GAUGAACGCUGGCGGCGUGCUUAACACAUGCAAGUCGAACGGAAAGGCCCUGCUUUUGUGGGUUUCUCGAGUGGCGAACGGGUGAGUAACACGUGUGUAACCUGCCCCUGACUUUGGGGUAACUUCUGGAAACUGGGGCUAAUACCGGAUAUGAGCUCCUGCUGCACGGUGGGGGUUAGAAAGUUUCGGCGUUUGGGGAUGGACUCGCGGCUUAUCAGCUUGUUUGUGGGGUAGUGGCUUACCAAGGCUUUGACGGGUAGCCGGCCUGAGAGGGUUACCGGCCACAUUGGGACUGAGAGACGGCCCAGACUCCUACGGGAGGCAGAAGUGGGGAAUAUUGCACAAUGGGCGGAAGCCUGAUGCAGCAACGCCGCGUGCGGGAUGACGGCCUUCGGGUUGUAAACCGCUUUCGCCUGUGACGAAGCGUGAGUGACGGUAAUGGGUAAAGAAGCACCGGCUAACCACGUG
Molecule: ribosomal RNA, 468 nt
Filed under: uncultured bacterium
Lineage: Bacteria
Description: partial 16S ribosomal RNA
Rfam family: Bacterial small subunit ribosomal RNA
Source: RNAcentral